UACGUAGGGUGCAGGCGUUACUCGGAAUUACUGGGCGUAAAGCGUGCGCAGGCGGUUUGCUAAGACAGGUGUGAAAUCCCCGGGCUUAACCUGGGAACUGCGCUUGUAACUGGCAAGCUAGAGUGUGGCAGAGGGGGGUGGAAUUCCAAGUGUAGCAGUGAAAUGCGUAGAUAUUUGGAGGAACACCGAUGGCGAAGGCAGCCCCCUGGGCUAACACUGACGCUCAUGCACGAAAGCGUGGGGAGCAAACAGG
RNAcentral lists this ribosomal RNA (253 nucleotides) under uncultured bacterium. Its description in RNAcentral is "partial 16S ribosomal RNA". It matches the Rfam family "Bacterial small subunit ribosomal RNA", at positions 524 to 776 of the family's 1533-position model. The record is from RNAcentral.